Thunnus maccoyii (southern bluefin tuna) is the source of this 361-nucleotide long non-coding RNA. RefSeq lists it as uncharacterized. The record is from RefSeq and is a predicted model, not a curated record. The transcript has 3 exons. NCBI's taxonomy places the organism in Eukaryota, Metazoa, Chordata, Actinopteri, Scombriformes, Scombridae.
GGACGAACGCCUUCUGUUGUUCAAACAGCAGAGCUUUGGCAUUCUCUGAACUGUCCACUAUGAACAUGAUCUCCACCGGGCAGAUGAGAACUAGGCAGGAAGCAAAACACAGCAGGCAUACCAACAGCAACCAUUUAGAAGGAAGUCAAACAGUUGGCUCAGUGGCACAAGCCAGAAUGAGGAUCAAAACCUUCAGGAGCCACUGCACAGACAUUGUUCAAUCCAGCUGCUCAGCCUGUCUAAAGAAGAGAGGAAGAAUAUAGCAGCAUUAUGGUAAGAGAGUUCCAGGUUAAUCCAUCAGUGAGAAGAACAGGCGCUGCUGUGCAGGCAGAGAGAAGCAGCUGUGAUGGUCAGAGCACAC